GACGAACGCUGGCGGCGUGCUUAACACAUGCAAGUCGAACGGAAAGGCCCUGCUUUUGUGGGGUGCUCGAGUGGCGAACGGGUGAGUAACACGUGAGUAACCUGCCCUUGACUUUGGGAUAACUUCAGGAAACUGGGGCUAAUACCGGAUAGGAGCUCCUGCUGCAUGGUGGGGGUUGGAAAGUUUCGGCGGUUGGGGAUGGACUCGCGGCUUAUCAGUUUGUUGGUGGGGUAGUGGCUUACCAAGGCUUUGACGGGUAGCCGGCCUGAGAGGGUGACCGGCCACAUUGGGACUGAGAUACGGACCAGACUCCUACGGGAGGCAGCAGUGGGGAAUAUUGCACAAUGGGCGGAAGCCUGAUGCAGCAACGCCGCGUGCGGGAUGACGGCCUUCGGGUUGUAAACCGAUUUCGCCUGUGACGAAGCGUGAGUGACGGUAAUGGGUAAAGAAGCACCGGCUAACUACGUG
RNAcentral lists this ribosomal RNA (468 nucleotides) under uncultured bacterium. Its description in RNAcentral is "partial 16S ribosomal RNA". It matches the Rfam family "Bacterial small subunit ribosomal RNA", at positions 28 to 507 of the family's 1533-position model. The record is from RNAcentral.